UGGGGAAUUUUGUACAAUGGGGGAAACCCUGAUCCAGCCAUCCCGCGUGUGCGAUGAAGGCCUUCGGGUUGUAAAGCACUUUUGGCAGGAAAGAAACGUCAUGGGUUAAUACCCCGUGAAACUGACGGUACCUGCAGAAUAAGCACCGGCUAACUACGUGCCAGCAGCCGCGGUAAUACGUAGGGUGCAAGCGUUAAUCGGAAUUACUGGGCGUAAAGCGUGCGCAGGCGGUUCGGAAAGAAAGAUGUGAAAUCCCAGAGCUCAACUUUGGAACUGCAUUUUUAACUACCGGGCUAGAGUGUGUCAGAGGGAGGUGGAAUUCCGCGUGUAGCAGUGAAAUGCGUAGAUAUGCGGAGGAACACCGAUGGCGAAGGCAGCCUCCUGGGAUAACACUGGCGCUCAUGCACGAAAGCGUGGGGAGCAAACAGG
RNAcentral lists this ribosomal RNA (429 nucleotides) under Acidobacteriota bacterium. RNAcentral's name for it is "Acidobacteria bacterium partial 16S ribosomal RNA". It matches the Rfam family "Bacterial small subunit ribosomal RNA", at positions 355 to 776 of the family's 1533-position model. The record is from RNAcentral. Lineage: Bacteria; Pseudomonadati; Acidobacteriota.